Long non-coding RNA from Leucoraja erinaceus (little skate), 1267 nucleotides. RefSeq lists it as uncharacterized. The record is from RefSeq and is a predicted model, not a curated record. Lineage: Eukaryota; Metazoa; Chordata; Chondrichthyes; Rajiformes; Rajidae. The transcript is spliced from 4 exons.
UCAGACAUUUUCCCCCUUGCGACGCCCGAUACGACAUCACUAAUGGCGUAAAGUACAGUGGCGGCGGCGGCGGCGUUGUCGUUUGCCAAAGAUCGGAUUUUUGGUCACUGCCGCCUUUGCUGGAAUAUGGGGAGGAGCGAGUUUGCGAUGAAGUUGCUUGGAACAAGCUGCCAGAGGAAGGAGUCAGCUUUCCCAUCUCCACCCCAACAGCCACUCCAGCCCACCACCCCAGCAACGGACUGUUCCAGCUGCUACGGUCAGGCAAGUGCCUCCGCUGUCACGCUACGAAAACAGAGAGGGUGAGACGGAGUUUCUUCCCACAGGCCAUCAGGACUAUAAACUCUAAUCUCACCAGAGACACUCCUCCAGCAGCUUCCACUGAUGAUGUCACAAAGCAUCUCACAGUCCACCAAUCACAAUGGGAUCAUUUACAUAAGCUGCAGUCAUUGAUGCCAACGGUAGCAGUGAGUAGCACAAGGAAACAAGAGACACACCAAGAAAUAACUGAACAUGUCAAGGACCAAUGAGAAAGAACACAAAACAGAGGGGAGCAAGAAACGCAACAAGAAAGAACUGAACGUCGACGAUCAACAAAAAGCCAGAACAGAAACUGGCAGAGGAGGGAGCGAAUGAGUUGCAGCAUGGUCAAGGAAAGAUGCAAAGAGACAGAUGGGAACAAGAGACGUAACAAGAAUUUACUAAAUAUUUCAAGGAAUAACGAGAAAGAACACAAAACAGAGGGGAGCAAGAGACACAACAAGAAAGAACUGAACUGAAUAAAUCUAAUUUUUAACAUUUAAAUUGUUGUUAUAUUUUAAGUUAUUUACAUUUUAAUCUUUAAUAAAUCCCUUUUCCACGUUGUGCCAGUCAGCUGGUUUAGGAGAGAGGUUUCAUUUACAAUAAAAAAUUCCAGAACUUCCCUCGUGGGGGUGUGUGAAGGGGGGGUGAUCACCCCCCCUCCCAACAUGGGGUUGAUUGAUUACCUCCAUAAAUUCCAGGAUUUUACUUGCGGGGCCCAACGGGUCCCACUUGGUCUAGUAUACUUAUAAAACUCCCAUCUUCUAUGUAUGUAGGUGUGUGUGUAUGUGUGUGGAUUUUUUUGUAUCUUUGUCAAAACACCAUGUGGUAGGUCUGAAAUUUUUCCACAUUCUUGCAUUUUUCCUGUCCACGCCAUAAUCAGGUUCCCUUUAGAUUUGAUGCUAUAUUUCUCAUGUUAUUGAUGAUUAAAUUAAAAAAAAAACAACUUUGAGAAGAAUAACUGUGACUC